Spea bombifrons (plains spadefoot toad) is the source of this 422-nucleotide long non-coding RNA. RefSeq lists it as uncharacterized. Lineage: Eukaryota; Metazoa; Chordata; Amphibia; Anura; Pelobatidae. The record is from RefSeq and is a predicted model, not a curated record. The transcript has 2 exons.
AGGAACGGACAGACCGGGACAUAGAGCCAAAAGACUGAGGCACGGACAUCCAGGGAAACGAGGACUGCGUCUGAGCAGGAUGAUAAGGAGGGAGAGGAACGGGCGGGAGAAGAAGCAACCACAGCCUCAGUGACAACAUGCAUGUAAGACUCCAUUCACUGUGGAGGGGAACACUGCUUGUGACCCAGGGGGUAAGUAAUUAUCACAAUGGAAUCAUUUUACUGCUCAUGAAUAAUAGUAUGGACAUCAGAUAGAAACAUCCAAUUGUGCUUGCUGUUUAUACCUAAUUAUGACUGCCUGAGGCAAUCAGGAAUAAAAAGUAGACAGUUUGCGUACUGUCGUUAAUGAUGCAAGGACUGUCACAUUUGUGCAGUCCAAACAACAGAAUUGGUGAAGAUCCAAAAGAUGGGCAAAAAAUAGAA